Melospiza melodia melodia is the source of this 284-nucleotide long non-coding RNA. RefSeq lists it as uncharacterized. The transcript is spliced from 3 exons. The record is from RefSeq and is a predicted model, not a curated record. NCBI's taxonomy places the organism in Eukaryota, Metazoa, Chordata, Aves, Passeriformes, Passerellidae.
UGGAGAAGGAUGAUCAUCUUUUAAGGCAAAAAAUCCUGCCUGUGUAGGAUUCUCAGAACUGUCUUUGAGCAAAAUCUACUUAUGCAUCUGGAAGUCUUGCCUAUUUUUAAAGUAAAACCAGGAAGACUUUCUCCUGCCUUCUUCUGUACGGAGAAGUGAAAUAAUCGGAAGGGGAGGAAACAGUCGUUGUCAAGAAAUGAACCACCUCUAAUCGUCUAAGGAAGCUCUGGAUUGAGAUUAGUAUCCACAGCAGAAAGGAAUCUACAGACACUACUGUGUGCGAG